AUUUGUUUUUACUACAAUUCUAUUGUACAAAUAAGAACAACUCGAAUAAAAAAAAUUUAAGUUCUAUAUAACUGCGUUUUGAGUUUUGUAUUUAAACAUUUUUGUGUUUAUUUAAAGCACCAAGGAUUUUAGAAGUUUAAUAAAUUCUAUUGACAUUUUGGUCAUGCACCUAUUUACCCACAUUUUUGAUGUCCUAACUAAUAAGCAGUUAUUUUUGGGAAACAAAGUAAUGAUGCAUAAUUACGCGAGUUUUUUCCAAAUAAAUAUUUCAGUAUGGGGCCAAAGCUCAAUAGUUACGCUAACCUGAACGUGUGCUGCUUUCCUUAGAUUUGGUAGCCGUUUCUCAGACUCCCUCCCCGGAAUCGAACCCUGAUUUCCCGUUACCCAUUACAACCAUGAUAUUGAUAGUAACUACUAUCAUAACAUGAAACUAAAAAUUAGUAAACACUUUGGUGAUAACACUUCGAUGGUUAAACCGAAUCAAGACAAUUCGGUAUGAGGUGCUCACAAUGGACCAAACAGACCAACUAAAACCAAAACUAUUCUAAUUUGAAAACAACGUGAAAAGUUGAAAAAGAAAAGUAUAUAUUUGCUUCAGAUGAAAGUUCCUUAUUUAAAAUUAAACACUAUCUACAGAUUUGCAUCGAAGCGUUUCUUAUGAUAGUGAUUUUAAUCACUGUCAG
This is a long non-coding RNA of Daktulosphaira vitifoliae (grape phylloxera), 683 nucleotides long. RefSeq lists it as uncharacterized. NCBI's taxonomy places the organism in Eukaryota, Metazoa, Arthropoda, Insecta, Hemiptera, Phylloxeridae. The transcript is spliced from 3 exons. The record is from RefSeq and is a predicted model, not a curated record.